AGAACGAACGCUGGCGGCGUGUUUAAGACAUGCAAGUCGCACGGAACCAAAUUGGUAGUAAUACUCGUUUGGUUCAGUGGCGCACGGGUGAGUAACACGUGAAUUACAUGCCCUUCAGUGGGGAAUAGCCCAGGGAAACUUGGAUUAAUACCCCAUGGUAUCGCAAGAUUAAAGGUGGCCAGCAAUGGCUGUACGCUGAAGGAUUGGUUCGCGCCCUAUCAGCUUGUUGGUGAGGUAACGGCUCACCAAGGCUACGACGGGUACCUGGUCUGAGAGGACGA
RNAcentral lists this ribosomal RNA (281 nucleotides) under uncultured soil bacterium. RNAcentral describes it as "partial 16S ribosomal RNA". It matches the Rfam family "Bacterial small subunit ribosomal RNA", at positions 26 to 303 of the family's 1533-position model. The record is from RNAcentral.